Molecule: transfer RNA, 70 nt
Filed under: Dipodomys ordii (Ord's kangaroo rat)
Lineage: Eukaryota; Metazoa; Chordata; Mammalia; Rodentia; Heteromyidae
Rfam family: tRNA
About the family: Transfer RNA (tRNA) molecules are approximately 80 nucleotides in length. Their secondary structure includes four short double-helical elements and three loops (D, anti-codon, and T loops).
Source: Rfam by way of RNAcentral
UGGGAUGUAGCUCAGUGGUAAAGCGCUUGCCUAGCAAGCUCAACGUCCUGGGUUCGAUCCCCAGUACCAA